UUGCUUUCCUUAACAGGUGCACGUGCACCUCGGGCACUUGUGGACCAGAAGUCUUCUGUUAUCAAACACAGCCCCACGGUGAAGAGAGAAUCACCCUCUCCUCAGGGACGGAUCAAUAACACAAGUGAAAACCAGCAGUUCUUGAAGGAGGUUGUACAGAGUGUCUUGGAUGGACAAGGCGUCGGCUGGCUCAACAUGAAGAAAGUGCGCCGCCUGCUGGAGAAUGAGCAGCUCCGUGUCUUUGUGCUGAGUAAACUUAACAGAGUGAGCCAGUCAGAGGAAGA
Molecule: long non-coding RNA, 284 nt
Organism: Hippocampus comes (tiger tail seahorse)
Lineage: Eukaryota; Metazoa; Chordata; Actinopteri; Syngnathiformes; Syngnathidae
Exons: 2
Source: RefSeq, a predicted model, not a curated record